AGUGGCGAACGGGUGCGUAACACGUUGGUGACCUGCCUUGAGGAGGGGGACACCGUGGGAAACCACGGCUAAUACCCGGAUGUCUAAACUUUUAGACAUCCUAAACUAAAGCUCCGGCGCCUUGAGAGGGGCCUGCGGGCUAUCAGCUUGUUGGUGGGGUAAUGGCCUACCAAGGCAAAGACGGCUAGGGGGCGUGAGAGCGCGACCCCCCACAAUGGAACUGAGACACGGUCCAUACUCCUACGGGAGGCAGCAGUGAGGAAUAUUGCGCAAUGGGGGCAACCCUGACGCAGCAACGCCGCGUGAACGAUGAAGGCUUUCGGGUCGUAAAGUUCUUUUCUGAGGGAAGAUAGUGACGGUACCUCAGGAAUAAGUCCCGGCUAACUACGUGCCAGCAGCCGCGGUAAAACGUAGGGGGCGAGCGUUAUCCGGAUUUAUUGGGCGUAAAGGGCACGUAGGCGGCGCUGUAAGUUGGGCGUGAAAGCUCUCGGCUUAACUGAGAGAGGUCGUUCAAAACUGCAGUGCUUGAGGUUGGAAGAGGAGAGUGGAAUUCCCGGUGUAGUGGUGGAAUGCGUAGAUAUCGGGAGGAACACCAGUGGCGAAAGCGACUCUCUGGUUCACACCUGACGCUGAGGUGCGAAAGCGUGGGGAGCGAACGGGAUUAGAUACCCCGGUAGUCCACGCUGUAAACGAUGGAUACUAGGUGUGGGAGGUCGCUGAAGUGUUCAGUGUCGAUACAUAUGCCGUUAAGUAUCCCGCCUGGGGAGUACGACCGCAAGGUUGAAACUCAAAGGAAUUGACGGGGGCCCGCACAAGCGGUGGAGCAUGUGGUUUAAUUCGACGCAACGCGAAGAACCUUACCCGGACUUGACAUCCUUGGGAUCGCCUCUGGAGACAGAGACUUUCUCUUCGGAGACCGAAGUGACAAGUGCUGCAUGGCUGUCGUCAGCUCGUGUCGUGAGAUGUUGGGUUAAGUCCCGCAAAGAGCGCAACCUCUGUCGUUAGUUGCCACCAUUAAGUUGGGCACUUUAGGGGGACUGCCCCGGCAAACGGGGAGGAAGGUGGGGAUGACGUCAAGUCCUCAUGGCCCUUACGUCCGGGGCUACACACGUGCUACAAUGGUAUAGACAGGGGGAAGCUACGCCGCAAGGCCACGCGGAUCCUCAAACUGUAUCUCAGUUCGGAUUGUAGUCUGCAACUCGACUACAUGAAGUUGGAAUCGCUAGUAAUCGCAGAUCAGCACGCUGCGGUGAAUAAGUUCCCGGGCCUUGUACACACCGCCCGUCACACCAUGGAAGUUGUCUUCACU
RNAcentral lists this ribosomal RNA (1309 nucleotides) under uncultured prokaryote. Its description in RNAcentral is "partial 16S ribosomal RNA". It matches the Rfam family "Bacterial small subunit ribosomal RNA", at positions 94 to 1421 of the family's 1533-position model. The record is from RNAcentral.